Molecule: ribosomal RNA, 252 nt
Filed under: uncultured eukaryote
Lineage: Eukaryota
Description: partial 18S rRNA
Rfam family: Eukaryotic small subunit ribosomal RNA
Source: RNAcentral
GAUGGUAGUGUAUUGGACUACCAAGUCGAUCACGGGUAACGGAGAAUUAGGGUUCGAUUCCGGAGAGGGAGCCUGAGAAACGGCUACCACAGCUACGGUAGGCAGCAGGUGCGUAAAUUACCCAAUCCAAAAUCUGGAAGGUAGUUACAGGAAAUUUGUUGCAUAGGAUUCUAUCCUAGACACAAACGAACACAUGUAAGUAUUGUGUGUUUAAUUGGAGGGCAAGUUUUGGUGCCAGCAGCCGCGGUAAUA